This 253-nucleotide ribosomal RNA is filed under the name uncultured bacterium. RNAcentral describes it as "partial 16S ribosomal RNA". It matches the Rfam family "Bacterial small subunit ribosomal RNA", at positions 524 to 776 of the family's 1533-position model. The record is from RNAcentral.
UACAGAGGCUGCAGGCGUUAUUCGGAUUCACUGGGCGUAAAGGGUGCGCAGGCGGCCGUGUGUGUGAGGCGUGAAAGCCCGGAGCUCAACUCCGGAAUUGCACCUCAAACUACACGGCUAGAGCAUUGGAGAGGGUAGCGGAAUUCACGGUGUAGCAGUGAAAUGCGUAGAUAUCGUGAGGAACACCAGAGGCGAAGGCGGAUACCUGGACAAUUGCUGACGCUCAGGCACGAAAGCGUGGGGAGCAAAAGGG